UAGGGAAUCUUCCGCAAUGGGCGAAAGCCUGACGGAGCAACGCCGCGUGAGUGAUGAAGGUCUUCGGAUCGUAAAACUCUGUUAUUAGGGAAGAACAAAUGUGUAAGUAACUAUGCACGUCUUGACGGUACCUAAUCAGAAAGCCACGGCUAACUACGUGCCAGCAGCCGCGGUAAUACGUAGGUGGCAAGCGUUAUCCGGAAUUAUUGGGCGUAAAGCGCGCGUAGGCGGUUUUUUAAGUCUGAUGUGAAAGCCCACGGCUCAACCGUGGAGGGUCAUUGGAAACUGGAAAACUUGAGUGCAGAAGAGGAAAGUGGAAUUCCCUGUGUAGCGGUGAAAUGCGCAGAGAUAUGGAGGAACACCAGUGGCGAAGGCGACUUUCUGGUCUGUAACUGACGCUGCUGUGCGAAAGCGUGGGGAUCAAACAGG
This 429-nucleotide ribosomal RNA is filed under the name Actinomycetes bacterium. RNAcentral describes it as "Actinobacteria bacterium partial 16S ribosomal RNA". It matches the Rfam family "Bacterial small subunit ribosomal RNA", at positions 355 to 776 of the family's 1533-position model. Lineage: Bacteria; Bacillati; Actinomycetota; Actinomycetes. The record is from RNAcentral.